This is a long non-coding RNA of Hypanus sabinus (Atlantic stingray), 1515 nucleotides long. RefSeq lists it as uncharacterized. The record is from RefSeq and is a predicted model, not a curated record. The transcript has 5 exons. NCBI's taxonomy places the organism in Eukaryota, Metazoa, Chordata, Chondrichthyes, Myliobatiformes, Dasyatidae.
UGAAAUUAAAUGGGAACCGAUUGGAUUUUUGCAUACUGAUUGGCGAGCCCAUGACAUCACUGCGUUAUACCCCUCCUCCCUCCUUUUUACUGUUUGCUGCCUGAAUCUCUCUAUUUCCACGUAUCUUCAGUUUUUGUCCCUUUUUUUGUUGUUUUUGUCACAUACUUUAUUCCCGCAAGCCAAAAAUAAAUCCGGAGAAAGACGGAAGGAAAUUCUGAAAGGAGUUUUUUUUUUAACGACAAGGGACGGCGGAGUAUUAACGAUUGAGCCGGACACUCUCACCAAGGAGAAGUGUGGUGAAUGGAAUGGCUGGAGUAGAUCAGAGGAGGAGGCAGUCAACCCACACUACCUUCGGGACGUGGAAGUUACCAGGGCGUCCAGGCAAUGCUCAGAGGUGGAUCUCAACAGACAUGGUGCCUGAGAGCACAGAACACAAGCUGCUGCUCACCAGCUCCAAUGUCUUCCCAAGAAAUGCCAUCAAGUGCUGAUAGUUUUUAGAACUACAAAUGUGAAUAACUUGCUGUCAGAGCGUGAGAACUGCAGCAAGGCUAAGCAUUGGACAGAGACCUACAUGCUCCUUUUAAUCGGAUAUCUGCCCGUUGAGUCACUGAGAAAUGGCUUCACCGGAUGGGCUUGGGAUCAAUGCAUCUUGAGAAGGGUCAUGACUUCUUGUGCAUCAUGUGGGGAAGGGUAUCCCUACUCUCCGGCAGAUGUUUUAUCUGAGGGACAGAUGGAUAUUUUGGCUGACUGAACAGAAGUAUCCUUUAACAGCUUGCGGGCCAAACGGAAAUGCUAAUGUGAAGUGUCUUUUUCUCCCUCUAAUAAGUGCACAAAACUUUUCUCGGGUGAGGUUUGUUCUCCAAACCCUCACCUCUUUCAAUAAGUUUGUGUCGACGUGAUCCCGGGAAAAAAAGAGAACAGGUAAUGAUGAAAAUACCUUUCUUAUGAAAAUGACUUUUUUAAGAAAAUGUGUUCAUGACUUUGAGAUGAUCCUGACGAAAAGUGGGGUUCCUGAAGAGUUUUUUUUACAAUAUUAAGUUCUUAAAGGGCACUGAUGAGGAACAGGUAAUCUGAUAAACGCUGGCUAAGUUAAUAGGAAGAACUCCCAUGCUCUUUGAAAUAAUGCUGUCAAGUCUUGUAGAGCCACAUGAGAAAAUAGUGGUUGAUUCAUUAUCUCACCUGAGAAAUGACACCACCUACUGUUCAGCACUCCCUUGAGGCUGCACUGGAUUUUCAUUGCGGUAUGUCCUCCGAGUCUGCGAGUGGGACUUAUACUGAGUUCAAAGCCAAUGAAUACCACAAUUGCUUUUAUUCUUCAGACCAGAGUAUUGCAAUUAAUUUCAACAGUGAUGACCCAUCCCCUAUGACGUUCACCAACAGGUAAGACCCAUGAGCUUAUCUGCCACUUGUUCACAGUGUUAUUAACGUGUUUUUUUUUGGUAAGGUGGGGUAAGGAAGGACAUACAAAUGCUUACUACGGUCAUUCAACAUCUAGGGUUGCUAGAUGUAUGAGAA